This 8461-nucleotide long non-coding RNA is filed under the name Volvox carteri. Its description in RNAcentral is "long non-coding RNA (VCAR_LNC003946)". The record is from RNAcentral. Lineage: Eukaryota; Viridiplantae; Chlorophyta; Chlorophyceae; Chlamydomonadales; Volvocaceae.
CUUAACCUGCCGGGAUGAUGAUGGGCGACGUUGGGCAAUCACCUCAUCCAAGGGUUGUGAUGCAAAUACGGCUAUUUGGGAUAUUGUGCCCCCCAGUGCCUGCCCCAUGAUAUUCCCCCCCCCCACAGAUCCAGGUACGUAGAAAUAACCCAGCAGUUGUAUGUGAUGAAUAAUCUGAGAUGGUUCAGGGGAAUCAUCGUAUGUAGCAUAUCAUGCUUCAACCUACGAGAUCCUGUAAGCAAGCAAGGGCGGGAGUAAUUGCAGUGCCCCUCAGGCAUCGCAUUUAGCAACUGUAUGAGCAUGUACAUAUGCCCAGCCAGUCACACAACACAUUCACGCGAGCGCAUAAUUAUGCUAAAUCCGCGAUUGUAUUGGUGGCAUGGACACAUGUACGGUUUCCCUACUGGCGGGCACCCUAGGGGUUUUAAAACCCUGGCAGGCGAGCUGCGUUUCCUUAUGGCACCGACCUGCUGCUCCAUUCAUCUAGAAAUGUUUCUGUUGCUUCUGACACCGAUCGAUUAUUAUCGUUGCUGGCUUUUGCCGCAGUUCCAGCUUCAUGCACCAGGCCAUCCGGGUGGUGCAUCCACAACAGCUCAGUCCUGCAGAGUGCAGACUGUGACGGGGAUGGCGCCCUGGAUGUUACCUGCCGGGAUGAUGAUGGGCGACGUUGGGCGAUCACCUCAUCCACGGGCUGUGAUGCAAAUGCGGCUAUUUGGGAUAUUGUGCCCCCCAGUGCCUGCCCCAAGAUAUUCUCGCCACCCACAGAUCCAGGUACGUAGUAAUAACCCAGCCGUUGCGAUGAAAUUGAGAUGAUUCGAGGGAAUUCCCUCGAACCGGCAUUGCCCCUCGGAAUUAUCAUAGCAUAUCAUUGUUCAACCCCACUUGCUUCGGAGCAGUGAAUUGCAGCAGUGUGUGCACCUUACCUGAAGCCCCCCAGGCAUCACAUUUGGCAACUGUAUACAUAUGCCCAAUCGCACAAAACAUGCAUGCAAGCGCAUAGCUAUGCUCAAUCACCGAAUGUAUUGGUGGCAUGCAUGCAUGCAUGCAUGCAUGCAUGCAUGCAUGUACGGUUAUCCUACGGCUGCUGGCAAGCAAGCCCUGAGUCUCUUUGUGGCACCGACCUGCUCGAUGCGUCUAGAAAUCGUAGUUACACUGCCUGGCCUUUCAUUUCCAGCUGGUCUGGCCUCCACCCUUCAUGUGGCCUUUCCUAGCUAGGCCACCUGCCCUAUCUGCUUCUGGCAUUGAUCAAUUAUUAUCGUUGCUGUUUUUUUUGCCGCAGCUUCAUGCACCAGGCCAUCCGGGUGGUGCAUCCACGACACCGCAGUCCUGCAGAGUGCAGACUGUGACGGGGAUGGCAUCCUGGACUUAACCUGCCGGGAUGAUGAUGGGCGACGUUGGGCAAUCACCUCAUCCAAGGGUUGUGAUGCAAAUACGGCUAUUUGGGAUAUUGUGCCCCCCAGUGCCUGCCCCAUGAUAUUCCCCCCGCCCACAGAUCCAGGUACGUAGAAAUAACCCAGCAGUUGUAUGUGAUGAAUAAUCUGAGAUGGUUCAGGGGAAUCAUCGUAUGUAGCAUAUCAUGCUUCAACCUACGAGAUCCUGUAAGCAAGCAAGGGCGGGAGUAAUUGCAGUGCCCCUCAGGCAUCGCAUUUAGCAACUGUAUGAGCAUGUACAUAUGCCCAGCCAGUCACACAACACAUUCACGCGAGCGCAUAAUUAUGCUAAAUCAGCGAUUGUAUCGGUGGCAUGGACACAUGUACGGUUUUCCUACUGGCAGGCGCCCUAGGGGUUUUAAAACCCUGGCAGGCGAGCUGCGUUUCCUUAUGGCACCGACCUGCUGCUCCAUUCAUCUAGAAAUGUUUCUGUUGCUUCUGACACCGAUCGAUUAUUAUCGUUGCUGGCUUUUGCCGCAGUUCCAGCUUCAUGCACCAGGCCAUCCGGGUGGUGCAUCCACAACAGCUCAGUCCUGCAGAGUGCAGACUGUGACGGGGAUGGCGCCCUGGAUGUUACCUGCCGGGAUGAUGAUGGGCGACGUUGGGCGAUCACCUCAUCCACGGGAUGUGAUGCAAAUGCGGCUAUUUGGGAUAUUGUGCCCCCCAGUGCCUGCCCCAAGAUAUUCUCGCCACCCACAGAUCCAGGUACGUAGUAAUAACCCAGCCGUUGCGAUGAAAUUGAGAUGAUUCGAGGGAAUUCCCUCGAACCGGGCAUUGCCCCUCGGAAUUAUCAUAGCAUAUCAUUGUUCACCCCACUUGCUUCGGAGCAGUGAAUUGCAGCAGUGUGUGCACCUUACCUGAAGCCCCUCAGGCAUCACAUUUGGCAACUGUAUACAUAUGCCCAAUCGCACAAAACAUUCAUGCAAGCGCAUAGCUAUGCUCAAUCACCGAAUGUAUUGGUGGCAUGCAUGCAUGCAUGCAUGCAUGCAUGCAUGUACGGUUAUCCUACGGCUGCUGGCAAGCAAGCCCUGAGUCUCUUUGUGGCACCGACCUGCUCGAUGCGUCUAGAAAUCGUAGUUACACUGCCUGGCCUUUCAUUUCCAGCUGGUCUGGCCUCCACCCUUCAUGUGGCCUUUCCUAGCUAGGCCACCUGCCCUAUCUGCUUCUGGCAUUGAUCAAUUAUUAUCGUUGCUGUUUUUUUUGCCGCAGCUUCAUGCACCAGGCCAUCCGGGUGGUGCAUCCACGACACCGCAGUCCUGCAGAGUGCAGACUGUGACGGGGAUGGCAUCCUGGACUUAACCUGCCGGGAUGAUGAUGGGCGACGUUGGGCAAUCACCUCAUCCAAGGGUUGUGAUGCAAAUACGGCUAUUUGGGAUAUUGUGCCCCCCAGUGCCUGCCCCAUGAUAUUCCCCCCGCCCACAGAUCCAGGUACGUAGAAAUAACCCAGCAGUUGUAUGUGAUGAAUAAUCUGAGAUGGUUCAGGGGAAUCAUCGUAUGUAGCAUAUCAUGCUUCAACCUACGAGAUCCUGUAAGCAAGCAAGGGCGGGAGUAAUUGCAGUGCCCCUCAGGCAUCGCAUUUAGCAACUGUAUGAGCAUGUACAUAUGCCCAGCCAGUCACACAACACAUUCACGCGAGCGCAUAAUUAUGCUAAAUCCGCGAUUGUAUCGGUGGCAUAGACACAUGUACGGUUUUUGGGCGGGGCCCCAGCGCGAAGCGCCCAGGGGGGCCCCGACCUGUAGGAUUGCCCAUGUCCGUGUGUGUGUGUGUGUGUGUGUGUGUGUGUGUCUGUAACGGACCAAACAUAAUAUCUCGCCCGGCUGAAACGCGUUAUCGGUACUAUACAGCAUUCUCUAUUGCAAGGUAUCUCGCAUGUAGCUAACAAAGACCGUAUGAGCACAAACAAGUUUAGCUGCCUCCAUUCACCGACCUCAAAAGUCACAUCAACACCUCUCGGGCUAUAUUUCAUCUCAAAAGGUGCCGUGUAUCUCAUAAUUGAUUUCCGAGAUGACAGCGUAUGAUAACUCGAACACCCAGCUUGUGUUACCAUUUGCCGGCAUGGGCAAUCCGACUUGCCACCAGCAGGCCAACAUAAUUUACUUUCAUUUCUCUAUGAAAUACACAAGCUGCUUGUUUGUACAUUUACUUUGGCCAAUGCACGGGGCCUCCUGAGACUUGCGGUGUGCCCCGAUGAAGCCCGCGGCUGUGGGGCGGAUUGCUGAGGCCGCUGGCGCUUCGGGGAUAAACAUCACAGACAGCACCGAAAUUCACCCAGCUUUCGUUACCAUUUGCCCGCACGGGCAUUCCGACUUGCGGUCUGCCGCACUGUCCAUGCGGCAUGCACCCGGAAUGGAUGCGAUUCGCGUGGAGCCCUCAGGCGGUGCUGACGAUUUCGCCGGUGCAAGCUUAGCUCUCACACCAUCAGCACUGCUGCAACAAAGCACAUCUCCCACCGCGUUGACACUACCCAUCAAUUGUCACACUUGCCACCUUUGCUACNNNNNNNNNNNNNNNNNNNNNNNNNNNNNNNNNNNNNNNNNNNNNNNNNNGAUAUUCUCGCCACCCACAGAUCCAGGUACGUAGUAAUAACCCAGCCGUUGCGAUGAAAUUGAGAUGGUUCGAGGGAAUUCCCUCGAACCGGCAUUGCCCCUCGGAAUUAUCAUAGCAUAUCAUUGUUCAACCCCACUUGCUUCGGAGCAGUGAAUUGCAGCAGUGUGUGCACCUUACCUGAAGCCCCCCAGGCAUCACAUUUGGCAACUGUAUACAUAUGCCCAAUCGCACAAAACAUGCAUGCAAGCGCAUAGCUAUGCUCAAUCACCGAAUGUAUUGGUGGCAUGCAUGCAUGCAUGCAUGUACGGUUAUCCUACGGCUGCUGGCAAGCAAGCCCUGAGUCUCUUUGUGGCACCGACCUGCUCGAUGCGUCUAGAAAUCGUAGUUACACUGCCUGGCCUUUCAUUUCCAGCUGGUCUGGCCUCCACCCUUCAUGUGGCCUUUCCUAGCUAGGCCACCUGCCCUAUCUGCUUCUGGCAUUGAUCAAUUAUUAUCGUUGCUGUUUUUUUUUGCCGCAGCUUCAUGCACCAGGCCAUCCGGGUGGUGCAUCCACGACACCGCAGUCCUGCAGAGUGCAGACUGUGACGGGGAUGGCAUCCUGGACUUAACCUGCCGGGAUGAUGAUGGGCGACGUUGGGCAAUCACCUCAUCCAAGGGUUGUGAUGCAAAUACGGCUAUUUGGGAUAUUGUGCCCCCCAGUGCCUGCCCCAUGAUAUUCCCCCCGCCCACAGAUCCAGGUACGUAGAAAUAACCCAGCAGUUGUAUGUGAUGAAUAAUCUGAGAUGGUUCAGGGGAAUCAUCGUAUGUAGCAUAUCAUGCUUCAACCUACGAGAUCCUGUAAGCAAGCAAGGGCGGGAGUAAUUGCAGUGCCCCUCAGGCAUCGCAUUUAGCAACUGUAUGAGCAUGUACAUAUGCCCAGCCAGUCACACAACACAUUCACGCGAGCGCAUAAUUAUGCUAAAUCCGCGAUUGUAUCGGUGGCAUGGACACAUGUACGGUUUCCCUACUGGCAGGCACCCUAGGGGUUUUAAAACCCUGGCAGGCGAGCUGCGUUUCCUUAUGGCACUGACCUGCUGCUCCAUGCAUCUAGAAAUGUUUCUGUUGCUUCUGACACCGAUCGAUUAUUAUCGUUGCUGGCUUUUGCCGCAGUUCCAGCUUCAUGCACCAGGCCAUCCGGGUGGUGCAUCCACAACAGCUCAGUCCUGCAGAGUGCAGACUGUGACGGGGAUGGCGCCCUGGAUGUUACCUGCCGGGAUGAUGAUGGGCGACGUUGGGCGAUCACCUCAUCCACGGGCUGUGAUGCAAAUGCGGCUAUUUGGGAUAUUGUGCCCCCCAGUGCCUGCCCCAAGAUAUUCUCGCCACCCACAGAUCCAGGUACGUAGUAAUAACCCAGCCGUUGCGAUGAAAUUGAGAUGAUUCGAGGGAAUUCCCUCGAACCGGCAUUGCCCCUCGGAAUUAUCAUAGCAUAUCAUUGUUCAACCCCACUUGCUUCGGAGCAGUGAAUUGCAGCAGUGUGUGCACCUUACCUGAAGCCCCCCAGGCAUCACAUUUGGCAACUGUAUACAUAUGCCCAAUCGCACAAAACAUGCAUGCAAGCGCAUAGCUAUGCUCAAUCACCGAAUGUAUUGGUGGCAUGCAUGCAUGCAUGCAUGCAUGCAUGCAUGCAUGUACGGUUAUCCUACGACUGCUGGCAAGCAAGCCCUGAGUCUCUUUGUGGCACCGACCUGCUCAAUGCGUCUAGAAAUCGUAGUUACACUGCCUGGCCUUUCAUUUCCAGCUGGUCUGGCCUCCACCCUUCAUGUGGCCUUUCCUAGCUAGGCCACCUGCCCUAUCUGCUUCUGGCAUUGAUCAAUUAUUAUCGUUGCUGUUUUUUUUGCCGCAGCUUCAUGCACCAGGCCAUCCGGGUGGUGCAUCCAUGACACCGCAGUCCUGCAGAGUGCAGACUGUGACGGGGAUGGCAUCCUGGACUUAACCUGCCGGGAUGAUGAUGGGCGACGUUGGGCAAUCACCUCAUCCAAGGGUUGUGAUGCAAAUACGGCUAUUUGGGAUAUUGUGCCCCCCAGUGCCUGCCCCAUGAUAUUCCCCCCGCCCACAGAUCCAGGUACGUAGAAAUAACCCAGCAGUUGUAUGUGAUGAAUAAUCUGAGAUGGUUCAGGGGAAUCAUCGUAUGUAGCAUAUCAUGCUUCAACCUACGAGAUCCUGUAAGCAAGCAAGGGCGGGAGUAAUUGCAGUGCCCCUCAGGCAUCGCAUUUAGCAACUGUAUGAGCAUGUACAUAUGCCCAGCCAGUCACACAACACAUUCACGCGAGCGCAUAAUUAUGCUAAAUCCGCGAUUGUAUUGGUGGCAUGGACACAUGUACGGUUUCCCUACUGGCAGGCACCCUAGGGGUUUUAAAACCCUGGCAGGCGAGCUGCGUUUCCUUAUGGCACCGACCUGCUGCUCCAUUAAUCUAGAAAUGUUUCUGUUGCUUCUGACACCGAUCGAUUAUUAUCGUUGCUGGCUUUUGCCGCAGUUCCAGCUUCAUGCACCAGGCCAUCCGGGUGGUGCAUCCACAACAGCUCAGUCCUGCAGAGUGCAGACUGUGACGGGGAUGGCGCCCUGGAUGUUACCUGCCGGGAUGAUGAUGGGCGACGUUGGGCGAUCACCUCAUCCACGGGCUGUGAUGCAAAUGCGGCUAUUUGGGAUAUUGUGCCCCCCAGUGCCUGCCCCAAGAUAUUCUCGCCACCCACAGAUCCAGGUACGUAGUAAUAACCCAGCCGUUGCGAUGAAAUUGAGAUGGUUCGAGGGAAUUCCCUCGAACCGGCAUUGCCCCUCGGAAUUAUCAUAGCAUAUCAUUGUUCAACCCCACUUGCUUCGGAGCAGUGAAUUGCAGCAGUGUGUGCACCUUACCUGAAGCCCCUCAGGCAUCACAUUUGGCAACUGUAUACAUAUGCCCAAUCGCACAAAACAUGCAUGCAAGCGCAUAGCUAUGCUCAAUCACCGAAUGUAUUGGUGGCAUGCAUGCAUGCAUGCAUGUACGGUUAUCCUACGGCUGCUGGCAAGCAAGCCCUGAGUCUCUUUGUGGCACCGACCUGCUCAAUGCGUCUAGAAAUCGUAGUUACACUGCCUGGCCUUUCAUUUCCAGCUGGUCUGGCCUCCACCCUUCAUGUGGCCUUUCCUAGCUAGGCCACCUGCCCGAUCUGCUUCUGGCAUUGAUCAAUUAUUAUCGUUGCUGUUUUUUUUGCCGCAGCUUCAUGCACCAGGCCAUCCGGGUGGUGCAUCCACGACACCGCAGUCCUGCAGAGUGCAGACUGUGACGGGGAUGGCAUCCUGGACUUAACCUGCCGGGAUGAUGAUGGGCGACGUUGGGCAAUCACCUCAUCCAAGGGUUGUGAUGCAAAUACGGCUAUUUGGGAUAUUGUGCCCCCCAGUGCCUGCCCCAUGAUAUUUACUUAACCGCUUAAAAAUCCAGAUCAUUUUUGGAAUUACAGUCCGUACAUUUUUUGCACAGUGGAUCAAAAGGAUCGUUGUUUGAUACCCGCUACUGCAAAUGAGCCAUACAUAUGCAUGAAAUUCAAGCACAGCAGCAGCAGCAGUUGGUAGUCUUUUGUGCAGGUACCUAGAAAUGCCAUGGACACAAGUCGUGUCGAUGCUCUGUAAUUAAGCUUGUGCGCUUGUAAGACUCUGGCGGUCACUUUUACUUCCGCCGAUCCUCUUUGCCUUUCUAAGGCAUUAGCUAUUUUUGGGACAUUGCUUGGCGUUGGAGAUUCGUCGCUUCGCCUCCUUUAGUAUGCCGGCGCUUGCAGCCAGCUAGCGUGGGUUUACUGCCUUUAUCAUGUAGAACCAACCCUAGCUCGGAUAAAAGAUGAGAAGUAUAAUGGUCUAUAUAUGUACAUAAUUUCCGUCUAAAAACAUGCAUGGACCAUCUGUACAUGACCAAAACUGUAAGAUGCUAGUGGCCACGGGAGAAACAAGCUACAAAACCCUGUCAUACACAAUCAGUUACACACAUAAGCACAGUCACAUGAUCAACACUGUGCAUUGGUGCCCAGCCCCCUGCUGCCUGCUUUCCCUUCCGGAAAUUCUCUCACACACACAAGAUCUAGAUGUGUAGCAGCUGACCGCUGAAAAGGCCUCUCGAGAUGCUGGUGGUCGCGCUACGCGCGUAUUUAUAGAGCCGUACUGUGUACCAGCUGCUACAAGAUGUGUAACAGCGGAACCCACUCUAGAUGCUGCUCUCGUUGCUGGCGUGCGCUCAGCUAUUUAGGCUGUGUACGGUGUAUGAGUGCUUUGGCCUUAGUAAAUGGGUAGAGCGUGCACGCACCCUUAACCCUGGUCCUUAACUCGUACGCAAUGAAUAGCUCGUACCGCCAUAGAAUCGGUGACGAGGAUAAAAUGGGUGCCGUACAGAUAUGGGUGAAAGUGGUUGAUGGCCCACAGGGCAGUGUAGGCCUCCUGUAAGAAGCGAUCAGCUCCCCUGGCAUCUCCCUGAGGACUCUUUGC